UACAGAGGUCUCAAGCGUUGUUCGGAUUCAUUGGGCGUAAAGGGUGCGUAGGUGGCGUGGUAAGUCGGGUGUGAAAUUUCGGAGCUUAACUCCGAAACUGCAUUCGAUACUGCCGUGCUUGAGGACUGGAGAGGAGACUGGAAUUUACGGUGUAGCAGUGAAAUGCGUAGAGAUCGUAAGGAAGACCAGUGGUGAAGGCGGGUCUCUGGACAGUUCCUGACACUGAGGCACGAAGGCCAGGGGAGCAAACGGG
Molecule: ribosomal RNA, 253 nt
Filed under: uncultured bacterium
Lineage: Bacteria
Description: partial 16S ribosomal RNA
Rfam family: Bacterial small subunit ribosomal RNA
Source: RNAcentral